AACGAACGCUGGCGGCGUGCUUAACACAUGCAAGUCGAACGGAAUUAGGGGCUUGCUCCUAAUUUAGUGGCGCACGGGUGAGUAACGCGUGGAUAACCUACCCUGGUAUCUGGGAUAACAUCUCGAAAGGGGUGCUAAUACCGGAUAAGCCCACGGUCUCUUCGGGGAUUGCGGGAAAAGAUGGCCUCUAUUUAUAAGCUAUCGUAUCAGGAUGGGUCCGCGUACCAUUAGCUAGUUGGUGGUGUAAUGGACCACCAAGGCGACGAUGGUUAGCUGGUCUGAGAGGAUGAUCAGCCACACUGGAACUGAGACACGGUCCAGACUCCUACGGGAGGCAGCAGUGGGGAAUUUUGCGCAAUGGGGGAAACCCUGACGCAGCAACGCCGCGUGAGUGAUGAAGGCCUUCGGGUCGUAAAGCUCUGUCAGAGGGGAAGAAGUGAUAGUGUGCUAAUACCACAUCAUCUUGACGGUACCCUCAAAGGAAGCACCGGCUAACUCCGUGCCAGCAGCCGCGGUAAUACGGAGGGUGCAAGCGUUGUUCGGAUUUAUUGGGCGUAAAGCGCGUGUAGGCGGUCUUUUAAGUCUGAUGUGAAAGCCCCGGGCUCAACCCGGGAAGUGCAUUGGAAACUGGGAGACUUGAAUACGGGAGAGGGUAGUGGAAUUCCUAGUGUAGGAGUGAAAUCCGUAGAUAUUAGGAGGAACACCGGUGGCGAAGGCGGCUACCUGGACCGAUAUUGACGCUGAGGCGCGAAAGCGUGGGGAGCAAACAGGAUUAGAUACCCUGGUAGUCCACGCCGUAAACGAUGAGUACUAGGUGUUGCGGGUAUUGACCCCUGCAGUGCCGCAGCUAACGCAUUAAGUACUCCGCCUGGGAAGUACGGUCGCAAGACUA
Molecule: ribosomal RNA, 892 nt
Filed under: uncultured bacterium
Lineage: Bacteria
Description: bacterial SSU rRNA
Rfam family: Bacterial small subunit ribosomal RNA
Source: RNAcentral